ACACUCCUGCGGGAGGCAGCAGUGGGGAAUUUUACGCAAUGGGGGAAACCCUGACGUAGCGACACCGCGUGAGCGAAGAAGCCCUUUGGGGUGUAAAGCUCUGUCAGCUGGAACGAAAACAAUGACGGUACCAGCAGAGGAAGCAUCGGCUAACUACGUGCCAGCAGCCGCGGUAAGACGUAGGAUGCGAGCGUUGUCCGGAUUUAUUGGGCGUAAAGAGUUCGUAGGUGGUUUGUUAAGUUUGGUGUUAAAGAUCGGGGCUCAACCCUGGGACUGCACUGAAUACUGGCAGACUCGAGUGUGGUAGAGGCUAGUGGAAUUCCCAGUGUAGCGGUGAAAUGCGUAGAUAUUGGGAAGAACACCGGUGGCGUAGGCGACUAGCUGGGCCAUAACUGACGCUGAGGAACGAAAGCCAGGGGAGCGAAUGGGAUUAGAAACCCGGGUAGUCCCAUGAU
This 455-nucleotide ribosomal RNA is filed under the name uncultured organism. Its description in RNAcentral is "partial 16S ribosomal RNA". It matches the Rfam family "Bacterial small subunit ribosomal RNA", at positions 333 to 805 of the family's 1533-position model. The record is from RNAcentral.